RNAcentral lists this ribosomal RNA (253 nucleotides) under uncultured bacterium. RNAcentral describes it as "partial 16S ribosomal RNA". It matches the Rfam family "Bacterial small subunit ribosomal RNA", at positions 524 to 776 of the family's 1533-position model. The record is from RNAcentral.
UACGGAGGGCGCAAGCGUUGUUCGGAAUCAUUGGGCGUAAAGCGCGUGUAGGCGGCCAGGUAAGUCGGGUGUGAAAGCCCGGGGCCCAACCCCGGAACUGCACUCGAUACUGCUUGGCUGGAGUCCCGGAGAGGAAGGCGGAAUUCCCGGUGUAGAGGUGAAAUUCGUAGAUAUCGGGAGGAACAUCAGUGGCGAAGGCGGCCUUCUGGACGGUGACUGACGCUGAGACGCGAAAGCGUGGGGAGCAAACAGG